RNAcentral lists this ribosomal RNA (253 nucleotides) under uncultured bacterium. RNAcentral's name for it is "partial 16S ribosomal RNA". It matches the Rfam family "Bacterial small subunit ribosomal RNA", at positions 524 to 776 of the family's 1533-position model. The record is from RNAcentral.
UACGAAGGGGGCGAGCGUUGUUCGGAAUUACUGGGCGUAAAGGGCGCGUAGGCGGCCCUCUUUGUCGCGUGUGAAAGCCCCCGGCUCAACUGGGGAGGGUCAUUCGAUACUGAUCGACUCGAAGGCAGGAGAGGGUAGUGGAAUUCCCGGUGUAGUGGUGAAAUGCGUAGAUAUCGGGAGGAACACCAGUGGCGAAGGCGACUACCUGGCCUGUUCUUGACGCUGAGGCGCGAAAGCUAGGGGAGCAAACGGG